AACAAGAAUGUGUCCAAAGUACACGGAUGCCCCACUCGCACUAUCAUUUUCCAUGUUCAAUGGACCGUGAAAUUGGGAAAAUAAUCUAAUUUGGCAUUAAAAUUAGAAAGAUCAUGUAAUAAGCAACAUGUGUACUAAGUUUCAAUUUGAUUGGACUUCAGCUUCAUCAAAAACUACCUUGACCAAAAACUUUAACCUGAAACUUCCACUUUCAUUUUCUAUGUUCAGUGAACCUUGAAAUUGGGGUCAAAAGUCAAAUUUGGUCUUAAAAUCAGAAAGAUCAUACCAUAAGCAACAAGUGUAGUAAGUUUCAAGUUGAUUGGACUUCAGCUUCAUCAAAAACUACCUUGACCAAAAACUUUAACCUGAAGCGGGACAGACGGACGAACGAACAGACGGACGAACGGACGCACAGACCAGAAAACAUAAUGCCCCUCUACUAU
This 443-nucleotide long non-coding RNA is filed under the name Mytilus galloprovincialis (Mediterranean mussel). The record is from RNAcentral. Lineage: Eukaryota; Metazoa; Mollusca; Bivalvia; Mytilida; Mytilidae.